Molecule: ribosomal RNA, 263 nt
Filed under: uncultured bacterium
Lineage: Bacteria
Description: partial 16S ribosomal RNA
Rfam family: Bacterial small subunit ribosomal RNA
Source: RNAcentral
GCAAGUCGAACGAGAAAGCACUUUCGGGUGUGAGUAUAGUGGCGCACGGGUGAGUAACGCGUAGGUGACCUACCUUUUUGCUGGGAAUAACUCGAAGAAAUUCGAGCUAAUACCCAAUAAGCUAAGUAAUUUUGAAAGUAACUUAGGAAAGAUUGCCUCUACUUGUAAGCAAUCACAGAAAGAUGGGCCUGCGUGACAUUAGUUUGUUGGUGGGGUAAUGGCCUACCAAGACUACGAUGUCUAGCUGGUCUGAGAGGAUGAUC